AGGGAUGUAGCGCAGUUUGGUAGCGCCUUUUGUUUUGGGUAAAAAAUGUCACGGGUUCAAAUCCUGUCAUCCCUA
RNAcentral lists this transfer RNA (75 nucleotides) under Nicotiana sylvestris (wood tobacco). It matches the Rfam family "tRNA". Rfam says of the family: Transfer RNA (tRNA) molecules are approximately 80 nucleotides in length. Their secondary structure includes four short double-helical elements and three loops (D, anti-codon, and T loops). The record is from Rfam by way of RNAcentral. Lineage: Eukaryota; Viridiplantae; Streptophyta; Magnoliopsida; Solanales; Solanaceae.